RNAcentral lists this long non-coding RNA (276 nucleotides) under Ananas comosus (pineapple). RNAcentral describes it as "long non-coding RNA (ACOM_LNC013353)". The record is from RNAcentral. Lineage: Eukaryota; Viridiplantae; Streptophyta; Magnoliopsida; Poales; Bromeliaceae.
UAAACUAAUCCCAACUAGGAUAAAACUGUAUUUUUUAUCUAAUAAAAUAUUAUCAACAUAUAAUAUACUACUAGUGUAGGUACCCGCGCGAUGCUGCGGGUAGUUACUGCUAAAUAAAAUUAUAGUAUACCAGUAUUAAAAUAUUAGUUCACAAUGGAGAGCAUUGUAGUAAAAUUUUAGAAAGAGUAAAAUAUCAACAAAAGUAAUAGUUAUAUGCAGUGAGUUAUAGCCAACACAAAAACUUGAGUGACAGGCAAUAAAAGCAAAGACAAUAGG